This 443-nucleotide ribosomal RNA is filed under the name uncultured bacterium. RNAcentral describes it as "partial 16S ribosomal RNA". It matches the Rfam family "Bacterial small subunit ribosomal RNA", at positions 338 to 795 of the family's 1533-position model. The record is from RNAcentral.
CCUACGGGGGGCUGCAGUGAGGAAUAUUGGUCAAUGGGCGCUAGCCUGAACCAGCCAAGUAGCGUGAAGGAUGACUGCCCUAUGGGUUGUAAACUGCUUUUAUAAGCGAGAAAUAUGAUGGUAACUUAUGAAUAAGGAUCGGCUAACUACGUACCAGCAGCCGCGUUCAUACGUAGGAUCCGAGCAUUAUCCGGAGUGACUGGGUGUAAAGAGUUGCGUAGGUGGCAUAGUAAGUAGCUAGUGAAAUCUGGUGGCUCAACCAUUCAGACUAUUAGCUAAACUGCUAAGCUCGCUACCGUUAGGGGUAACUGGAAUUUCUAGUGUAGGAGUGAAAUCCGUAGAUAUUAGAAGGAACACCGAUAGCGUAGGCAGGUUACUGGGACGGUUCUGACACUAAGGCACGAAAGCGUAGGGAGCAAACGGGAUUAGAUACCCGGGUAGUC